Molecule: ribosomal RNA, 497 nt
Filed under: uncultured bacterium
Lineage: Bacteria
Description: partial 16S ribosomal RNA
Rfam family: Bacterial small subunit ribosomal RNA
Source: RNAcentral
GAUGAACGCUGGCGGCGUGCCUAAUACAUGCAAGUCGAGCGAACAGACGAGGAGCUUGCUCCUCUGACGUUAGCGGCGGACGGGUGAGUAACACGUGGAUAACCUACCUAUAAGACUGGGAUAACUUCGGGAAACCGGAGCUAAUACCGGAUAAUAUAUUGAACCGCAUGGUUCAAUAGUGAAAGACGGUUUUGCUGUCACUUAUAGAUGGAUCCGCGCCGCAUUAGCUAGUUGGUAAGGUAACGGCUUACCAAGGCGACGAUGCGUAGCCGACCUGAGAGGGUGAUCGACCACACUGGAACUGAGACACGGUCCAGACUCCUACGGGAGGCAGCAGUAGGGAAUCUUCCGCAAUGGGCGAAAGCCUGACGGAGCAACGCCGCGUGAGUGAUGAAGGUCUUCGGAUCGUAAAACUCUGUUAUUAGGGAAGAACAAAUGUGUAAGUAACUAUGCACGCCUUGACGGUACCUAAUCAGAAAGCCACGGCUAACUACGUG